RNAcentral lists this transfer RNA (238 nucleotides) under Pneumocystis jirovecii. RNAcentral describes it as "tRNA-Pseudo(CAA)". Lineage: Eukaryota; Fungi; Ascomycota; Pneumocystomycetes; Pneumocystales; Pneumocystaceae. The record is from RNAcentral.
UAAAAUAUAAUUUAAAAGUAUCUAUUUAAUAUUUUUUUCAAACGUUUAAAUAUUAAGUAUAUUCAAAAAAUAGUGAAAAUUUAAAAGAAAAAUAAAUAAAAAUGAAUUUAAUAAAAUUAUUGUCUUUUUUUUUUAAAAAAAACUUUAAAAAUUCAAAAUUUCAUUAUUUUUGUAAAACAAAUAAUCAAUUUUAUAAAAAAGUAAAAAUUCAUUUAUAAUUAAAAUAUAUAUAAUUUAA